Molecule: long non-coding RNA, 931 nt
Filed under: Equus caballus (horse)
Lineage: Eukaryota; Metazoa; Chordata; Mammalia; Perissodactyla; Equidae
Description: lncRNA (ENSECAG00000057537.1)
Source: RNAcentral
CUGGGUCACCAUGAACAAGCUCAACUGCUCUGAGACCAUCAGGCAAUGAGAAAGCCCAAGUCACCGGGAAAGGGAUGCAUAGGCACUCCCAUUGACAGUACCAGCUGAGGCCAGCCUUCAAGUCAUUCCAGGCUCUGUGCCAGAUAUGUGUCUGAAGGAUGGUCUCAAACGUGACUAGUUUUUCAAGGAUCACCACUUCGUGUAAUCUCUGUGGAUGCCAUUCAUAUUGAAUUCUAUGUAAAUGGCGCCCCCUGGAGGAGUGGAACAGACUGCCACCCAUUCUAAAUGAAUGAUCUAGCACUAUGUGUACAUGAUUCCUGUGCCCCUGGAGACUCCUCCUCCCACACUAAACUAGCAAUACUGAGGACCAGUCCCUGGGACCUAUGAGACGGCUAUCUCUGAGAGUCCAGCCCUUGAGACAGAUUUUCCUAGAAAACACUCCAACUGACCCAAGACCUUCAAUUCUUGAAACAAGUAGGGAGGAGAAGGUGGUAAAGAAAUCCAAGUGCUAUUGUGAUGUGUGUCUUCCCUCUCUAUUUUGGGAUGAAAUUAUUUCAAGAUUUGAUUUACACAGUAGAAAUCGUGACUGUAAGCUUUGGACAGGUAUCUAGGCACUUACUAGUGUUCCCUCUUGUCUCGAGAAUGAGACAGCCAGGAGUGCCAGAUAUUUCCCAGUCUUGCCUCCGCUCUCAUAUCUAGAAACAAGAGCCUCCCAAAGGUCUCUCAUUCCUCAAGGUCCAUGGGAAGCCCAGUGGCUCAAUGGGAAAGCGUCAGUGACAAAUAUGUGUCUUUGUGAGAGAGCAAGAAGUCAGUCUCUUGGUUUGAACCAUUUGGUCUAGAAGACUAUCAUUCUACCAGGAGCAUAAAUUAUUAUUCUAUCAGGGGCAUAAAACCCCAAAGAAGUUUUGCAUAAGACACCAAACUCCAUGUC